UUUAAUAUGGCAGAUUAGUGUAUUGAAUUUAAGAUUCAAACAAGAAACUUUGUUUCUUUUAAAA
RNAcentral lists this transfer RNA (64 nucleotides) under Bilobella aurantiaca. RNAcentral describes it as "tRNA-Leu". The record is from RNAcentral. Lineage: Eukaryota; Metazoa; Arthropoda; Collembola; Poduromorpha; Neanuridae.